CAGCCGCCGCGGUAAAACGUAGGGUGCAAGCGUUAAUCGGAAUUACUGGGCGUAAAGCGUGCGCAGGCGGUUAUAUAAGACAGAUGUGAAAUCCCCGGGCUCAACCUGGGAACUGCAUUUGUGACUGUAUAGCUAGAGUACGGCAGAGGGGGAUGGAAUUCCGCGUGUAGCAGUGAAAUGCGUAGAUAUGCGGAGGAACACCGAUGGCGAAGGCAAUCCCCUGGGCCUGUACUGACGCUCAUGCACGAAAGCGUGGGGAGCAAACAGGAUUAGAUACCCCAGUAGUCCCUGUCUCUUAUAC
This 301-nucleotide ribosomal RNA is filed under the name uncultured bacterium. RNAcentral's name for it is "partial 16S ribosomal RNA". It matches the Rfam family "Bacterial small subunit ribosomal RNA", at positions 509 to 807 of the family's 1533-position model. The record is from RNAcentral.